UGGAGGCUUAACAUGAUGAUAACAUAGUUCAGCAGAUGGCCUGCGAUGAACAUGCUAUACUGUCUUUCGCUCCUAUCUGAUGUAGCCUCCU
Small nucleolar RNA from Alligator mississippiensis (American alligator), 91 nucleotides. It matches the Rfam family "Small nucleolar RNA snR60/Z15/Z230/Z193/J17". Rfam says of the family: The members of this family belong to the C/D class of snoRNAs which contain the C (UGAUGA) and D (CUGA) box motifs. Most of the members of the box C/D family function in directing site-specific 2'-O-methylation of substrate RNAs. The record is from Rfam. NCBI's taxonomy places the organism in Eukaryota, Metazoa, Chordata, Crocodylia, Alligatoridae.